CAGGAAAGAUUGCUUCACGUGUAAUGAAAAGCUAGUGUCCAGAAGAUCACUGCGGCCAGAUGCCAAUUUUGAUGCCCUCGUCAGUAAGACUUGUCCAAGCCCUGAUGUAUGUGAAGCUCAUCAGGAGGGAAUGCUAGCAAGAAUCAGCUAACACAAUAGCAGCAAGCUUUCAGUGACAGCGUUCAGGAAGGGUGAUGAUUCAGGCUGGGACCAGGUGUAUGGGAACUGUAUAAUCACAGCCUGACCCUUUGUUUGACCACCUGAGGCGAGUGCUGAGUCAGCUGCAGGGGCACAGGUGAUGGCAAUUUCAGCUGAGUGACCG
RNAcentral lists this long non-coding RNA (322 nucleotides) under Gallus gallus (chicken). The record is from RNAcentral. Lineage: Eukaryota; Metazoa; Chordata; Aves; Galliformes; Phasianidae.